GCUCAGGACGAACGCUGGCGGCGUGCCUAAUACAUGCAAGUCGAGCGGACCCUUCGGGGUUAGCGGCGGACGGGUGAGUAACACGUAGGCAACCUGCCUGUAAGAUYGGGAUAACUACCGGAAACGGUAGCUAAGACCGGAUAACUAACCGSAUCGCAUGAUGCGGUUAUGAAACACGGCGCAAGCUGUGGCUUACAGAUGGGCCUGCGGCGCAUUAGCUAGUUGGUGGGGUAACGGCYCACCAAGGCGACGAUGCGUAGCCGACCUGAGAGGGUGAUCGGCCACACUGGGACUGAGACACGGCCCAGACUCCUACGGGAGGCAGCAGUAGGGAAUCUUCCGCAAUGGACGCAAGUCUGACGGAGCAACGCCGCGUGAGUGAUGAAGGUUUUCGGAUCGUAAAGCUCUGUUGCCAGGGAAGAACGCCUUGGGGAGUAACUGC
Molecule: ribosomal RNA, 442 nt
Filed under: Paenibacillus sp. R-45701
Lineage: Bacteria; Bacillati; Bacillota; Bacilli; Caryophanales; Paenibacillaceae
Description: bacterial SSU rRNA
Rfam family: Bacterial small subunit ribosomal RNA
Source: RNAcentral